RNAcentral lists this transfer RNA (98 nucleotides) under Caudoviricetes sp. RNAcentral's name for it is "tRNA-Met". It matches the Rfam family "tRNA". From Rfam's summary of the family: Transfer RNA (tRNA) molecules are approximately 80 nucleotides in length. Their secondary structure includes four short double-helical elements and three loops (D, anti-codon, and T loops). Lineage: Duplodnaviria; Heunggongvirae; Uroviricota; Caudoviricetes. The record is from RNAcentral.
AGCGGAGUGGGGCAGUGGUUAGCCCGGAGGGCUCAUAACCCUUAGGUCGUAGGUUCGAAUAACAAGGUAAUGGAUGGAAUCCACUCCUACCUCCGCCA